This 465-nucleotide ribosomal RNA is filed under the name uncultured bacterium. RNAcentral describes it as "partial 16S ribosomal RNA". It matches the Rfam family "Bacterial small subunit ribosomal RNA", at positions 28 to 507 of the family's 1533-position model. The record is from RNAcentral.
GACGAACGCUGGCGGCGUGCUUAACACAUGCAAGUCGAACGGAAAGGCCCUGCUUGCCGGGUACUCGAGUGGCGAACGGGUGGGUAACACGUGGGUGAUCUGCCCUGCACUUCGGGAUAAGCCUGGGAAACUGGGUCUAAUACCGGAUAGGAGCCAUUUUUAGUGUGAUGGUUGGAAAGUUUUUUCGGUGUAGGAUGAGCUCGCGGCCUAUCAGCUUGUUGGUGGGGUAAUGGCCUACCAAGGCGGCGACAGGUAGCCGGCCUGAGAGGGUGGACGGCCACAUUGGGACUGAGAUACGGCCCAGACUCCUACGGGAGGCAGCAGUGGGGAAUAUUGCACAAUGGGCGCAAGCCUGAUGCAGCGACGCCGCGUGGGGGAUGACGGCCUUCGGGUUGUAAACGCCUUUCGCUAGGGACGAAGCUUUUUGUGACGGUACCUAGAUAAGAAGCACCGGCUAACUACGUG